AGUGAACGCUGGCGGUAGGCCUAACACAUGCAGGUCGAACGGCAGCACAGGAGAGCUUGCUCUCUGGGUGGCGAGUGGCGGACGGGUGAGGAAUACAUCGGAAUCUACUCUGUCGUGGGGGAUAACGUAGGGAAACUUACGCUAAUACCGCAUACGACCUACGGGCGAAAGCAGGGGACCUUCGGGCCUUGCGCGAUUGAAUGAGCCGAUGUCGGAUUAGCUAGUUGGCGGGGUAAAGGCCCACCAAGGCGACGAUCCGUAGCUGGUCUGAGGGGAUGAUCAGCCACACUGGAACUGAGACACGGUCCAGACUCCUACGGGAGGCAGCAGUGGGGAAUAUUGGACAAUGGGCGCAAGCCUGAUCCAGCCAUACCGCGUGGGUGAAGAAGGCCUUCGGGUUGUAAAGCCCUUUUGUUGGGAAAGAAAUCCAGCUGGCUAAUACCCGGUUGGGAUGACGGUACCAGCAUAAGAAGCACCGGCUAACUACGUGCCAGCCGCCGCCGUAA
This 506-nucleotide ribosomal RNA is filed under the name uncultured bacterium. RNAcentral's name for it is "partial 16S ribosomal RNA". It matches the Rfam family "Bacterial small subunit ribosomal RNA", at positions 29 to 523 of the family's 1533-position model. The record is from RNAcentral.